GAUGAACGCUGGCGGCAUGCCUAAUACAUGCAAGUCGAACGGAGCAUCUUCGGAUGCUCAGUGGCGAACGGGUGAGUAACACGUAGGUAACCUGCCCAUGUGCCCGGGAUAACUUCUGGAAACGGAUGCUAAAACCGGAUAGGUAUGAGGAUCGCAUGAACCUCAUAUUAAAGAGGCUACGGCCUUGAACAUGGAUGGACCUGCGGUGCAUUAGCUAGUUGGUGAGGUAACGGCCCACCAAGGCGAUGAUGCAUAGCCGACCUGAGAGGGUGAACGGCCACAUUGGGAYUGAGACACGGCCCAAACUCCUACGGGAGGCAGCAGUAGGGAAUUUUCGUCAAUGGGGGGAACCCUGAACGAGCAAUGCCGCGUGAGCGAAGACGGUCUUCGGAUUGUAAAGCUCUGUUGUAAGAGAAUAACGACAUAUAUAGGGAAUGAUAUAUGAGUGAUGGUAUCUACCAGAAAKMMCGWYMMUCC
RNAcentral lists this ribosomal RNA (477 nucleotides) under uncultured bacterium. RNAcentral's name for it is "bacterial SSU rRNA". It matches the Rfam family "Bacterial small subunit ribosomal RNA", at positions 28 to 502 of the family's 1533-position model. The record is from RNAcentral.